This 772-nucleotide ribosomal RNA is filed under the name uncultured bacterium. Its description in RNAcentral is "bacterial SSU rRNA". It matches the Rfam family "Bacterial small subunit ribosomal RNA", at positions 36 to 791 of the family's 1533-position model. The record is from RNAcentral.
CUGCGGGUGCUACCACGCAAGUCGAGCGAGAAAGCCCGCAAGGGUGAGUAAAGCGGCGCACGGGUGCGUAACACGUGGGUAAUCUGCCCUGAAGUCCGGAAUAACUCGCCGAAAGGCGUGCUAAUGCCGGAUAAGACCACGGGAACCUCGGUUCCUGCGGGAAAAGGUGGCCUCUGUACACAAGCUAUCACUUCAGGAUGAGCCCGCGGCCCAUCAGCUAGUUGGCGGGGUAACGGCCCACCAAGGCUACGACGGGUAGCUGGUCUAAGAGGACGAUCAGCCACACUGGAACUGAGACACGGUCCAGACUCCUACGGGAGGCAGCAGUGGGGAAUCUUGCGCAAUGGGCGAAAGCCUGACGCAGCAACGCCGCGUGUGUGAUGAAGGUCUUCGGAUCGUAAAGCACUGUCGGGAGGGACGAAUAAGGCCGGCGCUAACAUCGCCGGACGAUGACGGUACCUCCAAAGGAAGCACCGGCUAACUCUGUGCCAGCAGCCGCGGUAAUACAGAGGGUGCAAGCGUUGUUCGGAAUUAUUGGGCGUAAAGCGCGUGUAGGCGGUUCAGCAAGUCGGAUGUGAAAGCCCUCGGCUUAACCGAGGAAGGGCGUUCGAAACUACUGAACUUGAGUGCCGGAGAGGGUGGCGGAAUUCCCGGUGUAGAGGUGAAAUUCGUAGAUAUCGGGAGGAACACCAGCGGCGAAGGCGGCCACCCGGACGGUAACUGACGCUGAGACGCGAAAGCGUGGGGAGCAAACAGGAUUAGAUACCCUGGU